UUGCUCGGAGGACUUGGCAAGUGGUGCUGCUCUGCCUUCUGCCCCAAGGUGGGAUGCUGACAGGAGGGGAGCUCCUGCGGGGCGACCCACAGCCGUACAGGGAAGAGAUCACAGCUCUGUCCUCCAUGACCAGCCCGGGAGCCCAAGAUGCAGAAGGAGAGGACAAAGGCAAAGUCUCACUCCCCAGAGGAUGUAAAAGCAAAGA
Chiroxiphia lanceolata (lance-tailed manakin) is the source of this 205-nucleotide long non-coding RNA. RefSeq lists it as uncharacterized. The record is from RefSeq and is a predicted model, not a curated record. NCBI's taxonomy places the organism in Eukaryota, Metazoa, Chordata, Aves, Passeriformes, Pipridae. The transcript has 3 exons.